RNAcentral lists this ribosomal RNA (438 nucleotides) under uncultured bacterium. Its description in RNAcentral is "partial 16S ribosomal RNA". It matches the Rfam family "Bacterial small subunit ribosomal RNA", at positions 339 to 795 of the family's 1533-position model. The record is from RNAcentral.
CUACGGGACGCACCAGUGAGGAAUAUUGCACAAUGGGGGGAACCCUGAUGCAGCAACGCCGCGUGGAGGAUGACGCAUUUCGGUGUGUAAACUCCUUUUAUAUGUCAAGAAAAUGACGGUAGCAUAUGAAUAAGCACCGGCUAACUCCGUGCCAGCAGCCGCGGUAAUACGGAGGGUGCAAGCGUUACUCGGAAUCACUGGGCGUAAAGGACGCGUAGGCGGGUUGGAAAGUCAGGUGUGAAAUCCUACAGCUUAACUGUAGAACUGCACUUGAAAGUUCUAAUUAGAGUAUGGGAGGGUGGUGUGGAAGUAGAGGUGGUGGGGGAAAAUCCGUAAAUAUCACUAGGGAUACGUAAAGCGAAGGUGAUCACCGGGAACAUUAUUCACGCUCAGGCGUGAAAGCGUGGGCAGCAAACAGGCUUCAAUACCCCUGUAGUC